RNAcentral lists this ribosomal RNA (256 nucleotides) under uncultured bacterium. RNAcentral describes it as "partial 16S ribosomal RNA". It matches the Rfam family "Bacterial small subunit ribosomal RNA", at positions 524 to 776 of the family's 1533-position model. The record is from RNAcentral.
UACGUAGGGUGCGAGCGUUAAUCGGAAUUACUGGGCGUAAAGCGUGCGCAGGCGGUGAUGUAAGACCGAUGUGAAAAUCCCCGGGCUUAACCCUGGGAACUGCAUUGGUGACUGCAUCGCUCGAGUAUGGCAGAGGGGGGUAGGAAUUCCACGUGUAGCAGUGAAAUGCGUAGAGAUGUGGAGGAAUACCGAUGGCGAAGGCAGCCCCCUGGGUCAAUACUGACGCUCAUGCACGAAAGCGUGGGGAGCAAACAGG